CAAUCGAACCCGGAGAUAGCUGGUUCUCCCCGAAAUAGCUUUAGGGCUAGCGUCGGAAAGAACCUUAGUGAAGGUAGAGCACUGAAUGUGUGAUGGCCCCAUCCCGGGGUACUGAAUACAAUCAAACUGCGAAUGUCAUUAAGGAUGUCCGGCAGUCAGACUGUGAGUGAUAAGGUCCAUGGUCAAGAGGGAAACAGCCCAGACCGCCAGUUAAGGUCCCAAAAUACAGGCUAAGUGGAAAAGGAUGUGGGGAUGCCCAGACAACUAGGAGGUUGGCUCAGAAGCAGCCAUCCUUUAAAGAGUGCGUAACAGCUCACUAGUCGAGUGACCCUGCGCCGAAAAUGUACCGGGGCUAAGCCUGAUACCGAAACUGCGGAUUGUAGGAAACUAUAGUGGUAGGGGAGCGUUGUAUACGAGCAGAAGCCGUACCGUGAGGAGCGGUGGAUUGUAUAGAAGUGAGAAUGCCGGUGUGAGUAGCGAGAUGUAGGUGAGAAUCCUACACACCGAAAGCCCAAGGAUUCCAGGGGAAGGUUCGUCCGCCCUGGGUAAGUCGGGACCUAACGCGAGGCCGAAAGGCGUAGUGGAUGGAAAGCAGGCGAAAGAUUCCUGCACCCGUAUAUGGAGCGAAGGAGUGACGGAGACGGAUAGUGUGACCCUCUUAAUGGAUUGAGGGCGAAGCGAAGCGGCUGGUUACCAGGCAAAUCCGGUAACCAAAAGGCUAGAGCGUGACAGGUAAGCGAAAUCUUCGGAAAGUAGCGAAGCACAUGAUGACGGCUUCCAGGAAAAGCUUCUGGCAAUGCAUAUGCGGCCCGUACCAAAACCGACACAGGUGGGCAGGGAGAGAAUCCCGAGGUGAGCGAGAGAACUGUUGCCAAGGAACUCGGCAAAAUGACUCCGUAAGUUAGCGAGAAGGAGUGCUUAAGCAAUUAAGCCGCAGUGAAGAGGCCCAAGCGACUGUUUAACUAAAACACAGCUCUCUGCGAAGUCGCAAGACGAAGUAUAGGGGGUGACACCUGCCCGGUGCUGGAAGGUUAAGAGGAUCUGUUAAGAGCGAUCUGAAGCAGUGAUCCGAAGCCCCAGUGAACGGCGGCCGUAACUAUAACGGUCCUAAGGUAGCGAAAUUCCUUGUCAGGUAAGUUCUGACCCGCACGAAAGGUGUAACGAUUUGGGCGCUGUCUCGGCAGCAGACUCGGUGAAAUCUUAGUACCUGUGAAAAUGCAGGUUACCCGCAACUAGACGGAAAGACCCCAUGGAGCUUUACUGCAGCCUGAUAUUGAAUUCUGGUCAUACAUGUACAGGAUAGGUGGGAGACAAAGAGACGUGCACGCCAGUGUACGAGGAGUCGACGUUGGGAUACCACUCUUGUGUGACCGGGGUUCUAACCUGGUAUCGAGAACAGGUACGGGGAGAGUGUCAGGUGGGCAGUUUGACUGGGGCGGUCGCCUCCCAAAGAGUAACGGAGGCGCCCAAAGGUUCCCUCAGCGCGGCCGGAAAUCGCGCGAAGAGUGUAAAGGCAGAAGGGAGCUUGACUGAGAGCCAAACACGGCGAUCAGGUACGAAAGUAGGGCUUAGUGAUCCGGUGGCAUCCAAGUGGAAGGGCCAUCGCUCAACGGAUAAAAGCUACCCUGGGGAUAACAGGCUAAUCUCUCCCAAGAGUCCAUAUCGACGGGGAGGUUUGGCACCUCGAUGUCGGCUCAUCACAUCCUGGGGCUGAAGUCGGUCCCAAGGGUUGGGCUGUUCGCCCAUUAAAGUGGUACGUGAGCUGGGUUCAGAACGUCGUGAGACAGUUCGGUCCCUAUCCAUCGCGGGCGCAAGAGAUUUGAAGGGGGCUGCUCCUAGUACGAGAGGACCGGAGUGGACGAACCAAUGGUGUACCAAUUAUCUCGCCAGAGGUAUAGUUGGGUAGCUACGUUCGGAAAGGAUAAACGCUGAAAGCAUCUAAGCGUGAAACCAGCCUUAAGAUGAGAUCUCUCAUAGAGUAAUCUAGUAAGACACCUUGGAGAAGACGAGGUUGAUAGGUCGGGAGUGUAAGUACAGUAAUGUAUUCAGCGGACCGAUACUAAUAUGUCGAGGGCUUGACUUA
Molecule: ribosomal RNA, 2083 nt
Filed under: human gut metagenome
Description: bacterial LSU rRNA
Rfam family: Bacterial large subunit ribosomal RNA
Source: RNAcentral